This is a long non-coding RNA of Musa acuminata AAA Group (dessert banana), 1447 nucleotides long. RefSeq lists it as uncharacterized. The record is from RefSeq and is a predicted model, not a curated record. The transcript has 6 exons. Lineage: Eukaryota; Viridiplantae; Streptophyta; Magnoliopsida; Zingiberales; Musaceae.
GGUCAUCAGAACAUUUCUAUCUAUCAUAUUGCGUUGAAUGCCAUCCAACGUCAGCAUAUAAGAGUUUCAUCUGGUGAUCAAAUCUCAGUUAACAGGUGUUCUCCACACCAACUAGCACUCGUACAUGUCUAGUCUAAUGAGUUGUGCUGCUCUUCUAGUAUAUUCUUUCAGAUUUGUUCCUCGGGAUGAAUUUAAGCUGGCACUGCUCACAUUAGAGUUUGGAUUUUGUUAAAGGAAAGACUAAUAGAACUGAGCAAGGUAAGAACGUGUUGGUACUUGGGACGACAAGCGAGAUGGAAUUUCUGGAGUCUCUUGGUAUAUGUGAUGCAUUCUCUGUUACAUAUCAUGUUCCAAAAUUGAACAAGGAAGAUGCCAAGAAGGUUUUUUAGGCGAUGGUUGGCGGAUCUGAAUCCAACCAGCUCAGGGCGGCAAUGUCCCUACCAGGUGUGUAUAUUUGCUUUUGACCUUAACUUGUGAAACCUCUGUCCAGGUGCAGGUCCAGGAGAGCAGUUAAGGCAUUCGGAGACCUGCAAAUUAACGCAGAGACCAGCGACGUUCUCGUGUUGAAUGGUAGUAUUUUGGUUCAGCCACAACCGAGAGGUGAAAGGUGCUGCGACGAAGACGAGCAACAUGCUAAGUUUAGUCCACCCUCCAGGAUUCGAGAUCUUUUUGCGACGAAGACGAGCAAACGAGACGAGAGAAAUUUACGUAACAUACUUUGUCCGCCUGUAGCUGGCGGCAAUUGAACAAACAAGGCGAGACAAAAAAAGAAAAAGAAAGUAAUCAUACGACUUUGGUGCGAAUCUUCAGAUCCGUCCUGCCUCGAGUUCUUGCUGGAUAAAAAAAAAGAAAGUUUACGUCGUGAAAGAAGGCAAAUCCCAGUAAAAAAAAUGAAAGCAGAUGAACGAAUUACCUAUUGGACUCCAGAAUUAUAACCCAAAGUACAGAGGAGGACGGAAUCCGACGUACAGAAGAGCUUCCGUGUCAAAGUCUGAUCUAACUAAACCAGACUUGGAAUCCAAAGUAAAAGAGGCCGACUGAACACGAUCACCGCACUCAGACACGAGAAGACGACGAAAGAAAAGAAAGCUUCCGUGUCAGAGCGGUCUGCCUUUCUACCCCGCAUCGGGAAGGGGAAACACAAAAAAAAAAGAUCAGGAAGAUGAUGCUGACACGAGAGGUGGAAGGAAGUCUACCGCUCUCCCAUAAUGGAGAUUCCUUUGGAUGCUUCUCCCGGUGGCGUGUGUGGAGCACAGACACUGAAUGUGGUCCGUCGCUCCAAUCCCUCACGUAAUCGGGCCGUCUCCGGCUAUAAAUAACCCCCCCCCCGACCGAGCGUCUAACCAGGAACGCAUACCACACCACAAUUUGUUGAGCCGUUGUGCUUGUUGCCUCUCGACAUGUCGACCUGCGGCAACUGCGACUGCGCUGACAAGAGCCAGUGCGU